RNAcentral lists this transfer RNA (80 nucleotides) under Clostridiales bacterium. Its description in RNAcentral is "tRNA-Leu". It matches the Rfam family "tRNA". Rfam says of the family: Transfer RNA (tRNA) molecules are approximately 80 nucleotides in length. Their secondary structure includes four short double-helical elements and three loops (D, anti-codon, and T loops). The record is from RNAcentral. Lineage: Bacteria; Bacillati; Bacillota; Clostridia; Eubacteriales.
GCCCUCGUGGCGGAAAUGGCAGACGCGGCAGAUUUAGGUUCUGUUGGGAAACCAUGCAGGUUCAAAUCCUGUCGAGGGCA